GUUUACUGGCCUGGCAGCUCCAGCAGGGGACGUCUCUAUGCCACCCUGGGGCCCAACUGGCGGGUUCCAGUUAGGAAUUCUCCCAGAACCCGGAGCUGUGUCUACAGCCCCACCGGCCCGUGCAUCUGUUCUCUGGGGAACUCCGCAGCUGUGCCCACCAUGGAGGGGCCUCUGAGAAGAAAAACCCUGCUCAAGGAAGGGCGGAAGCCUGCGCUGUCCUCGUGGACCAGGUACUGGGUCAUACUCUCAGGAUCCACCCUCCUGUACUACGGAGCCAAGUCCUUGCGGGGCACAGACAGAAAACACUAUAAAUCCACACCUGGCAAAAAG
RNAcentral lists this small RNA (330 nucleotides) under Pongo abelii (Sumatran orangutan). RNAcentral's name for it is "processed transcript". The record is from RNAcentral. Lineage: Eukaryota; Metazoa; Chordata; Mammalia; Primates; Hominidae.